AUCCCUCCUCUUUAGCCUUUAUAUGCCCAAAUUUGUCUUAGUGUGUUUGUACCUCCUGACGAAGCCUACGUGGCGAAACACGUGUUGAGGUCGAAGCAGUGGGGGAACCGUGUCACCAUUUUUCAGCAGCAACAUGGUAAUAAAGAAAUUUGCA
Long non-coding RNA from Bufo bufo (common toad), 154 nucleotides. RefSeq lists it as uncharacterized. The transcript is spliced from 3 exons. The record is from RefSeq and is a predicted model, not a curated record. NCBI's taxonomy places the organism in Eukaryota, Metazoa, Chordata, Amphibia, Anura, Bufonidae.